RNAcentral lists this long non-coding RNA (345 nucleotides) under Populus trichocarpa (black cottonwood). RNAcentral's name for it is "long non-coding RNA (PTRI_LNC004840)". Lineage: Eukaryota; Viridiplantae; Streptophyta; Magnoliopsida; Malpighiales; Salicaceae. The record is from RNAcentral.
GCCAUUCAGGAAUGGUGGAAGCAGCCUUGAAGGAACGGGGUUCAACCUGAGAAGAAGCAACAAACUGUACAGAGGUAGAGUAAGCCUUCCUUUUGGAGAUACUAUUCUUAGACCUAAUGGUCAUGGGAUGAAGAUUCGGCGGUGAAAGAGGUAAGACCACACAUAGAUACUCAGGCUGGAAGUCAGGAUCAACAGGGAGAGGGGACUGUGUAGAUGACAGAAUGGGCAGAGGCGGAGACAGUGUAGGCUGUGAGGAGGAACUAUGAGACAGUGCAGACUGAGAAGAGGAACUUGAAGACAGUGUAGGCUGAGAUGCAGCCGCUGGAGUAGGAGGAGAAAUAAGAG